Molecule: ribosomal RNA, 493 nt
Filed under: uncultured bacterium
Lineage: Bacteria
Description: partial 16S ribosomal RNA
Rfam family: Bacterial small subunit ribosomal RNA
Source: RNAcentral
GACGAACGCUGGCGGCGUGCUUAACACAUGCAAGUCGAACGGAAAGGCCUGCUUUCCCUUGUGGAUUGCGGGUACUCGAGUGGCGAACGGGUGAGUAACACGUGAGUGAUCUGCCCCCAACUUGGGUAUAAGCCUGGGAAACUGGGUCUAAUUCCCGAUAGGACUGCAGGGUGGUGCCUGUGUGGAAAACGAUUUUCUAGUGGUUGGGGAUGAGCUCGCGGCCUAUCAGCUUGUUGGUGGGGUAAUGGCCUACCAAGGCGGCGACGGGUAGCCGGCCUGAGAGGGUGGACGGCCACAUUGGGACUGAGAUACGGCCCAGACUCCUACGGGAGGCAGCAGUGGGGAAUAUUGCACAAUGGGCGGAAGCCUGAUGCAGCGACGCCGCGUGGGGGAUGACGGCCUUCGGGUUGUAAACCCCUUUCGACCGCGAGGAAGCCACCUGGUUGGAAGGGUGGUGACGGUAGUGGUAGAAGAAGCACCGGCUAACUACGUG